Molecule: ribosomal RNA, 486 nt
Filed under: uncultured organism
Description: SSU rRNA
Rfam family: Bacterial small subunit ribosomal RNA
Source: RNAcentral
GUGCCAGCAGCCGCGGUAAUACGUAGGGUGCGAGCGUUGUCCGGAAUUACUGGGCGUAAAGAGCUCGUAGGUGGUUUGUCGCGUUGUUCGUGAAAACUCACAGCUUAACUGUGGGCGUGCGGGCGAUACGGGCAGACUAGAGUACUGCAGGGGAGACUGGAAUUCCUGGUGUAGCGGUGGAAUGCGCAGAUAUCAGGAGGAACACCGGUGGCGAAGGCGGGUCUCUGGGCAGUAACUGACGCUGAGGAGCGAAAGCGUGGGGAGCGAACAGGAUUAGAUACCCUGGUAGUCCACGCCGUAAACGGUGGGUACUAGGUGUGGGUUCCUUCCUUGGGAUCCGUGCCGUAGCUAACGCAUUAAGUACCCCGCCUGGGGAGUACGGCCGCAAGGCUAAAACUCAAAGGAAUUGACGGGGGCCCGCACAAGCGGCGGGGCAUGUGGAUUAAUUCGAUGCAACGCGAAGAACCUUACCUGGGUUUGACAUGC